RNAcentral lists this ribosomal RNA (374 nucleotides) under uncultured organism. Its description in RNAcentral is "partial 16S ribosomal RNA". It matches the Rfam family "Bacterial small subunit ribosomal RNA", at positions 527 to 896 of the family's 1533-position model. The record is from RNAcentral.
GUAGGUGGCAAGCGUUGUCCGGAAUUAUUGGGCGUAAAGCGCGCGCAGGUGGUUCUUUAAGUCUGAUGUGAAAGCCCCCGGCUCAACCGGGGAGGGUCAUUGGAAACUGGGGAACUUGAGUGCAGGAGAGGAAAGUGGAAUUCCACGUGUAGCGGUGAAAUGCGUAGAUAUGUGGAGGAACACCAGUGGCGAAGGCGGCUUUCUGGCCUGUAACUGACACUGAGGCGCGAAAGCGUGGGGAGCAAACAGGGAUUAGAUACCCUGGUAGUCCACGCCGUAAACGAUGAGUGCUAAGUGUUGGGGGGGUUUCCCGCCCCUCAGUGCUGCAGCUAACGCAUUAGGCACUCCGCCUGGGGAGUACGGUCGCAAGACUG